UAAGGAAUAUUGGUCAAUGGACGCAAGUCUGAACCAGCCAUGCCGCGUGAAGGAUGAAGGUCCUCUGGAUUGUAAACUUCUUUUAUCUGGGACGAAACACUUCUUUUCUAAGAGGCCUGACGGUACCAGAUGAAUAAGCACCGGCUAACUCCGUGCCAGCAGCCGCGGUAAUACGGAGGGUGCAAGCGUUAUCCGGAUUCACUGGGUUUAAAGGGUGCGUAGGUGGGCAGGUAAGUCAGUGGUGAAAUCUCCGGGCUUAACCCGGAAACUGCCGUUGAUACUAUUUGUCUUGAAUAUUGUGGAGGUAAGCGGAAUAUGUCAUGUAGCGGUGAAAUGCUUAGAUAUGACAUAGAACACCAAUUGCGAAGGCAGCUUACUACACAAUCAUUGACGCUGAGGCACGAAAGCGUGGGGAUCAAACA
This 422-nucleotide ribosomal RNA is filed under the name uncultured bacterium. RNAcentral describes it as "bacterial SSU rRNA". It matches the Rfam family "Bacterial small subunit ribosomal RNA", at positions 355 to 774 of the family's 1533-position model. The record is from RNAcentral.